RNAcentral lists this small nuclear RNA (19 nucleotides) under Arabidopsis thaliana (thale cress). RNAcentral's name for it is "snRNA_14737". The record is from RNAcentral. Lineage: Eukaryota; Viridiplantae; Streptophyta; Magnoliopsida; Brassicales; Brassicaceae.
GCGGGUAGAAUCCUUUGCA